CUGUCCCCAGAAGCAUGGAAACAUGGCAGACGGAACGUAAAUGGACAAAAGGAGACAAAAGCUGUGGAGAAGAGAUUACAGAACUCGCAGAUACCAUAUACUGAGUUACAGAAGAGUGACCAGCUUUGUCACCUUGACACUACCUGGAAUCACCUGGGAAGAGUAUCAGCGAGAGACUGUCUACAGUGGGUUGAUGUGCUUGAUGUAACCGGCCGCCUCCUGCUCCAGCUCCCAAGCCUUUGCCGCCAUGAUGGGCCACGCCCUCAACCUCGAGCAAAAAAAUAAACCUUCCUUCCAUUGCCUUUUGUGAGGUAUUUGAUCACAGCAAUGAAAAGAGAAACCAAUUCAGCAUUUUUUUCACUCGCAAACAGAAAGGCCCUCGUGGAUACAGAAGCACCUCUCAUCAAAUGACCCAUUAUCGUCAUGCCAGGCAAAUGAGAGGUGGCCGGCAAUGACAACAGGCAAAACCACAAGGAGAAAACCGGAGGUCCAACCGCGGGAAGCUAGGCCUGGUGGCUACCCGUUCAGCACAGAUUCGAAUAUUGCUUCCAGACUUUCAAGUUCUGCAUCUCUGAGGACGUUAACUAAUCUCUCAGGGCCUCUGUCUCCUCCUCUGUGAAAUGGGGUUAGCUAUGCCAGCCUUCAGGUUUGGGGACCAGCAAGGACACCUGUGGUGCCUGAGUCCUGAGCUCCUAGGGGGAGGGGGGUCCGGUUGACAGGACAGUAGCCUCCUGAAUCCGUCCCCUUCCUAUCCUCAGGGAAAGCUGACUCUCCAGGGGAAAUCGGCUUGCCUGGGGUCAGGCCAGGCCCCAGGGUUCCAGUUUAUGACUCUGGCCACCACUUAAGACUGCAGUCCGCUGCAGUUUCCUUCUCAUAGGUCAGUUAGCGUGUGGGGAAGUGGGGUGCGUUUAAAUACAGUCUUUCCCAGCAUCUGUCUGUCCUGUCCCUAGAUCAGGGACAUGCAUAGAAAAGACAGGAGCUGCCUCUCUCUGUACCUCUCUUCCUCCCUCCUACCCACCCUUUCUCUCCCACGAUGCUCAAAUACAGCUCAGUUCCCUUCCGCUGGGACAGUGGGGAGUCAGAUGAUCCAAAUAGAAUGAGCCCCUUCCUGGGAAAGACUUGGGCAGAAUGGUCUUCACUCCUCCAUGCCCAGAGCCUGGCCCCCUGCCGUUACUCUAAGGGAUAACAAUGGCUUCUCUUGUACCCUGCCCAGGUGGCUGACGUGCCCAGCAUGGACACCACCUGCCACCCUCCCCCCUACCCGUGGGGGACACUCAGUCAGAGACCCAGCCUCAUAGGGGCUCAGUGUGGCAGAUGUGAACGAUGUCCCAGUUCAGAUCUCUUGGGCCUAUCUCUUUCUCUUGCCACCAUGGACCACAUGACAUGGGAUGCCCUCAGAGUUACUAUGCUUACACGUACACACACACACACACACACACACACACACACACACACACGUACCCACGCGUGCCUGCUCUCUAAGAGGACACAGGUGCAGGGAGCGGGUGACUGAGGAAGCCUUUGGACAGAGGCAGAUGGAAGCCAGUGGGGAGCCACUUCCCAUCUUCCUGGCAAUCUGGAGAGCUAUGUUCCUUGCUUCUUAUAAGUCCUCCAGGACCCAGCGACCAAUCACCCACAGCAGGGACCCUUCCACAACAAAACUCAUUACCCUCCCAAACCACACCGGCU
This 1689-nucleotide long non-coding RNA is filed under the name Mus pahari (shrew mouse). RNAcentral's name for it is "lncRNA (MGP_PahariEiJ_G0006271.1)". The record is from RNAcentral. Lineage: Eukaryota; Metazoa; Chordata; Mammalia; Rodentia; Muridae.